GGGCCUAAACCCCCCCCGCCCGAUGGCCCAGUAAACUCUGUUUUAUUCUGAAAUUCUGAAUCUUAAAGCAAAUAAGUUAAAACUUUCAACAACGGAUCUCUUGGUUCUGGCAUCGAUGAAGAACGCAGCGAAAUGCGAUAAGUAAUGUGAAUUGCAGAAUUCAGUGAAUCAUCGAAUCUUUGAACGCACAUUGCGCCCAUUAGUAUUCUAGUGGGCAUGCCUGUUCGAGCGUCAUUAAUACCAUUAAGCCCUGUAGCUUAGCGUUGGGAGCCUGCGGCUGCAGCUCCUCAAAACUAGUGGCGGAGUCAGCGUAUACUCUAGGCGUAGUAAUAACCCACUCGCUUCUGCGUUGCGCUGGCGCCUGCCGUAAAACAACCCAUUUCUAAAGGUUGACCUCGGAUCA
Molecule: ribosomal RNA, 403 nt
Filed under: fungal endophyte sp. ECD-2008
Lineage: Eukaryota; Fungi
Description: eukaryotic LSU rRNA
Rfam family: 5.8S ribosomal RNA (bases 81-234)
Source: RNAcentral